UACGGGGGGAGCAAGCGUUGUUCGGAUUUACUGGGCGUAAAGGGCGCGUAGGCGGCCACCGCAAGUCAAUUGUGAAAUCCCACAGCUCAACUGUGGAACUGCCUUUGAAACUGCGUUGCUAGAGUGUCGGAGGGGAUGGCGGAAUUCCUAAUGUAGAGGUGAAAUUCGUAGAUAUUAGGAGGAACACCGGUGGCGAAGGCGGCCAUCUGGACGACAACUGACGCUGAGGCGCGAAAGCGUGGGGAGCAAACAGG
Molecule: ribosomal RNA, 254 nt
Filed under: uncultured bacterium
Lineage: Bacteria
Description: partial 16S ribosomal RNA
Rfam family: Bacterial small subunit ribosomal RNA
Source: RNAcentral